UAAAAUCUUAUGAUAUAUACUCAAACUAGAUAUCCCAAGUAGGAUAAAACAUUUACGUGGUGCUGUACUAAUAUAUUCUCAACCUGUAAGAAAUCUUGGUUGAAAAACACGAUGAAGAUUUUAGGUGAACCUAAAAUAAGCAAUAACUUAUGAAGAUUUUAGGUAAACCUAAAAUAAGCAAUAACUUAUGAAGGUUUACCUAUGCAAACGAAGCGUUAAUUAUGAACAAACUAAUUAAAAUAAUUCAUCUACCCUUGCGACCUCUUGUGCCCAAGAGGUGUUAAAAAAUAAAAGAAUUUUUAUACCCGUCAAUACUGAUUUGAUCUAGGUUGGCAAACUAAAAUUGAGAGUCCCUGCUAAAAGUUCAAAACUUCAGCACAUUUUCUGGUCAACCAGCUCCUUCGAUCCAAGGAAAUG
This 417-nucleotide long non-coding RNA is filed under the name Coffea arabica (coffee). Its description in RNAcentral is "long non-coding RNA (CARA_LNC003617)". Lineage: Eukaryota; Viridiplantae; Streptophyta; Magnoliopsida; Gentianales; Rubiaceae. The record is from RNAcentral.